Molecule: ribosomal RNA, 497 nt
Filed under: uncultured bacterium
Lineage: Bacteria
Description: partial 16S ribosomal RNA
Rfam family: Bacterial small subunit ribosomal RNA
Source: RNAcentral
GAUGAACGCUGGCGGCGUGCCUAAUACAUGCAAGUCGAGCGAACGGACGAGAAGCUUGCUUCUCUGACGUUAGCGGCGGACGGGUGAGUAACCCGUGGAUCACCUACCUAUAAGACUGGGAUCACUUCUGGAAACCGUCGCUAAUACCGGAUAAUCUUUUGAACCGCAUGGUUCAAGAUUGAAAGACGGUCUUGCUGUCACUUAUAGAUGGAUCCGCGCUGCAUUAGCUAGUUGGUAAGGUAACGGCUUACCAAGGCAACGAUGCAUAGACGACCUGAGAGGGUGAUCGGCCACACUGGAACUGAGACACGGUCCAGACUCCUACGGGAGGCAGCAGUAGGGAACCUUCCGCAAUGGGCGAAAGCCUGACGGAGCAACGCCGCGUGAGUGAUGAAGGUCUUCGGAUCGUAAAACUCUGUUAUUAGGGAAGAACAUAUGUGUAAGUAACUGUGCACAUCUUGACGGUACCUAAUCAGAAAGCCACGGCUAACUACGUG